GCCUGACUGGCUCAGUCUAGAGCGUGUGACUCUAGAUCUCAGAGUCGUGAGUUUGAGCCCCAUGUUGGGUG
RNAcentral lists this transfer RNA (71 nucleotides) under Ailuropoda melanoleuca (giant panda). It matches the Rfam family "tRNA". Rfam says of the family: Transfer RNA (tRNA) molecules are approximately 80 nucleotides in length. Their secondary structure includes four short double-helical elements and three loops (D, anti-codon, and T loops). Lineage: Eukaryota; Metazoa; Chordata; Mammalia; Carnivora; Ursidae. The record is from Rfam by way of RNAcentral.